Molecule: ribosomal RNA, 91 nt
Filed under: Canis lupus familiaris (dog)
Lineage: Eukaryota; Metazoa; Chordata; Mammalia; Carnivora; Canidae
Description: partial small subunit ribosomal RNA
Source: RNAcentral
GCCUCCACGCCCCAGUGAGAAUGCCCUUUAAACCACCAGUGAUCUAAAGGAGCAGGUAUCAAGCACACUCUUAAGUAGCUCAUAACACCUU